This 492-nucleotide ribosomal RNA is filed under the name uncultured bacterium. RNAcentral describes it as "partial 16S ribosomal RNA". It matches the Rfam family "Bacterial small subunit ribosomal RNA", at positions 29 to 507 of the family's 1533-position model. The record is from RNAcentral.
AGUGAACGCUGGCGGUAGGCCUAACACAUGCAAGUCGAACGGCAGCUCCGUAAGAGCUUGCUCUUACGGGUGUCGAGUGGCGGACGGUUGAGGAAUACACCGGAAUCUACUUUUUCGUGGGUGCUAACGUAGGGAAACUUAUGCUAAUACCGCAUAUGACCUCCGUGUGAAAGCAGGCGAUCUUCUGACCUUGUGCUAUUGUAUGAGCCUAUGUCGGAUUAGCUAGUUGGCUGGGUAAAGGCCCACCACGGCGACGAUCCGUAGCUGGUAUGAGAGGAUGAAUAGACACACUGGAACUGAGACACGGUCGAGACUCCUAGGCGAGGAAGCGGUGGGGAAUAUUAGGCAGUGGGGGAGAGCCUGAUACAGGAAAACCGCGUGAGUGAAGAAGGACUUAGGCUGGUAAAGCGAUUUUGUUGGGAAAGAAAAGAAGCAGGUUAAUACGCCACUAUACUGACGGUACCCAAAGAAUAAGCACCGGCUAACUUCGUG